UAGGGAAUAUUGGACAAUGGGUGAGAGCCUGAUCCAGCCAUGCCGCGUGCAGGAAGAAGGCCUUCUGGGUUGUAAACUGCUUUUGCCGGGGGAUAAAAGGCCCCUGCGGGGGACAUUGAAGGUACCCGGUGAAUAAGCCACGGCUAACUACGUGCCAGCAGCCGCGGUAAUACGUAGGUGGCAAGCGUUGUCCGGAUUUAUUGGGUUUAAAGGGUGCGUAGGCGGCCCCGUAAGUCAGUGGUGAAAUACGGCAGCUCAACUGUCGAGGUGCCAUUGAUACUGCGGGGCUUGAGUAUGGACGAGGUAAGCGGAAUUGACGGUGUAGCGGUGAAAUGCUUAGAUAUCGUCAAGAACACCGAUAGCGAAGGCAGCUUACCAAGCUGUAACUGACACUGAGGCACGAAAGUGUGGGGAUCAAACAGGAUUAGAUACCCCCGUAGUCCCUGAGCGGGCUGGCAAGGCGCAU
Molecule: ribosomal RNA, 466 nt
Filed under: uncultured bacterium
Lineage: Bacteria
Description: bacterial SSU rRNA
Rfam family: Bacterial small subunit ribosomal RNA
Source: RNAcentral